Long non-coding RNA from Mytilus californianus (California mussel), 2084 nucleotides. RefSeq lists it as uncharacterized. The record is from RefSeq and is a predicted model, not a curated record. The transcript is spliced from 3 exons. NCBI's taxonomy places the organism in Eukaryota, Metazoa, Mollusca, Bivalvia, Mytilida, Mytilidae.
CGAAAAAUAUUUUUGGGGCGAAAGAGGUGGCGAAAAAUAUACUUUUGGGGCGAAAGAGGUGGCGAAAAAGAAAAUUGACCCAGGGGAAUCCCUGCAGAUGGGUAUUGACAAGUUUUAAAAAAAUCUGGAAAUCACAUCCUAAUUUUUACGGUUAUAUUGUUUAUAAAGCACGUAAAUUUAAAUCCGAUCUAUGUGAACAUUUGUGUCCUUUGAACAAUUUUAUUCUGAUAGGAUAUCAUGUAAACCCCGUUUGUUGGUGGGGUUUGUGUUGCUCAGUUUUUAUUUUUCCUGUGUUGUGUUCUGUAUACUGUUGUUUGUCGUCUGUCUUUGUCCUCUGUCUUUGUCCUCUGUCUUUGUCGUCUUCGUUGUCUGUCUUUGUCGUCUGUCUUUUUCGUUUUUUACCAGUAGUCAGUCUAUUUUAGACUUAUGAUAUCCCUUUAGGAUCUUUCGACUUUCUGCUUGAACAUGAUUUUUAUUUAGUCGAACUACUGUAUCCCUAGCCUGUCAACACUGAGGUUGCGAGUUCGAAUCCUGCUCAUGGCAGGUGCACUCUACUCCAAUCUUAAUUGACUAGGAUUGUCAGUUUUCCUACCGAAGGUCAGUGAAUUUCUCUGGCCACUCCGGCUUCCUCCACCAAUAAAAACAGACCGCCAUGAAAUAGAAUGGUUCUGAAAGUGGCGUUUAACACAAAUCAAUCAAUCAUUCAACAUGUUUCUCUAAAACGGUUAUAAACGAACCAACGCGAAUAACAUGGUCUUCUACUUCAACAAUAAACUAUAAGUUACGUAAUAUUCGUGAUAAAACUAGCCAAGUAGGUGUCAUUGAAGUUGGAAUCAGUGGUCAUUCUAAAAUUCGUGAUAAAACUAGCCAAGUAGGUGUCAUUGAAGUUAGAAUCAGUGGUCAUUCUAAAAUUCUUGAUAAAACUAGCCAAGUAGGUGUCAUUGAAGUUAGAAUCAGUGGUCAUUCUAAUAUGUGUGAUAAAACUAGUCAUGUAGGUGUCAUCGAAGUUGGAAUCAGUGGUCAUUCUAAUAUUCGUGAUAAAACUAGCCAAGUAGGUGUCAUUGAAGUUAGAAUUAGUGGUCAUUCUAAUAUUCGUGAUAAAACUAGCCAAGUAGGUGUCAUUGAAGUUGGAAUCAGUGGUCAUUCUAAUAUUCGUGAUAAAACUAGUCAAGUAGGUGUCAUUGAAGUUAGAAUCAGUGGUCAUUCUAAUAUUCGUGAUAAAACUAGCCAAGUAGGUGUCAUUGAAGUUAGAAUCAGUGGUCAUUCUAAUAUUUGUGAUAAACUAGUCAAGUAGGUGUCAUUGAAGUUAGAAUCAGUUACCAUUCUAUAAAAUAUAGUACGAGGAAACAAAGAAAGAACAAACAGGUAAAAUCAUUGAAACACUAUUCAAAAAAAGAGGCGAACACGUCUGAUCAUAUGCAGAAAUGCAGAACCAAGUAUUUGAAACUUUUAGAAAAAUUAUUCAAUUUAACUAUAUUUUUAAAGCCCGUAUAAUGCAAUGAAAAUAAAACACAAUUUAAAACCGUGGAUGAAAUCAUAAAUUUUAGAUUAUUUAAGAAACGAGACUCUUUCUUACUAUAACCAGUAUACAAAAAAUAAAAUCAAAAAAUAUUUUUGGACUACUGCAAAAUAAGAAAUUUGGUACAUAGAACUGUAGAAAAGGCAAAAGAAUGAAAUAUAUCUAGCAAAAUUGUAGAUAACAAAAAUGCCCCGGGCAAUAAUGAAACAACUUAGACACUGGUCAUUUUCUUUUAUUGGAGGGAUCUGGGAUAAAUUUUAUCAAUUUUACAUAUAAAUUGAAGUACCUCUUCUGAAGGCAUAAAUAUUCGCCUGUCUCAUUUCUAAAUACCUAUAUAGUGUGUUGACAGAACAUACACCGAUGCAAUUUCUCAUUGUUGCUUCGCACCACGAAUAGUCAAAUCUGUAAAAUAUUUGACAGGUCUGAGGCCUGUGGUCACAAAACUGUUCAAUGUUUUACAGAACGAACUGAUGGAGGCUCAUAACUUACUCAAAAAAUUGUUUAACUUGUCAAAGAAGAUGAUAAAAGCAAAUGCCCUCCUCCUCCUCCUCCUCCCCCCCCCCCC